This 350-nucleotide unclassified non-coding RNA is filed under the name Hevea brasiliensis (rubber tree). The record is from RNAcentral. Lineage: Eukaryota; Viridiplantae; Streptophyta; Magnoliopsida; Malpighiales; Euphorbiaceae.
UGAGCAGUGGUUAUCCAAGAAUAACUUUUCUUGCUUUGGUGAGAGUAAACAUGAAGAGAUAUCUGAUGAAUUCUUUGAGAAGGCCAUGGACAUGUUUGAGAAAGUUGCAUAUGCGCGACAUUGUGAUCACUUUGCGCCUGAUGAGCUGGAAGAGCUGACGGUUGGUGUAGGGCCAAUGGAAGUAGUUAAAUCCAUUCAUGAGCAUUGGCAGAAUAAGCGGCAGAAGAAUGGCAUGGCUUUAGUACGCCAUCUCCAGCCACCCCUUUGGGAGAGGUAUCAGCAGCAACUGAAGGAAUGGGAACAAGCAAUGUCAAAUGCGAGUUUUGGCUUUGCUAGCGGAUGCCAGGAUA